AGCAGCCGCGGUAAUUCCAGCUCCAAUAGCGUAUAUUAAAGUUGUUGCAGUUAAAAAGCUCGUAGUUGAAUUUCGGGAUCAGACUGUCGGUCGUGCCUCGGUACGCACUGGCAUUAUUGGUUCCUACCUUCUGAAGAACCGCGAUGUCAUUAAUUUGGUGUCGCGGGGAAUCAGGACUGUUACUUUGAAAAAAUUAGAGUGUUUAAAGCAGGCUUACGCUUGAAUACAUUAGCAUGGAAUAAUGAAAUAGGACGUUUGAUUCUAUUUUGUUGGUUUCUAGGAUCGACGUAGUGAUUAAUAGGGAUAGUUGGGGGCAUUAGUAUUCAAUUGUCAGAGGUGAAAUUCUUGGAUUUAUUGAAGACUAACUACUGCGAAAGCAUUUGCCAAGGAUGUUUUCAUUAAUCAAGAACGAAAGUUAGGGGAUCGAAGACGAUCAGAUACCGUCGUAGUCUUAACCAUAAACUANGUCCGACUAGGGAUCGGAUGAUGUUAAUUUUUAAAUUGACUCCAUUCGGCGCCU
RNAcentral lists this ribosomal RNA (520 nucleotides) under uncultured Glomus. Its description in RNAcentral is "SSU rRNA". It matches the Rfam family "Eukaryotic small subunit ribosomal RNA", at positions 569 to 1088 of the family's 1831-position model. Lineage: Eukaryota; Fungi; Glomeromycota; Glomeromycetes; Glomerales; Glomeraceae. The record is from RNAcentral.